This 327-nucleotide ribosomal RNA is filed under the name Stutzerimonas marianensis. RNAcentral describes it as "partial 23S ribosomal RNA". It matches the Rfam family "Bacterial large subunit ribosomal RNA", at positions 1345 to 1673 of the family's 2925-position model. Lineage: Bacteria; Pseudomonadati; Pseudomonadota; Gammaproteobacteria; Pseudomonadales; Pseudomonadaceae. The record is from RNAcentral.
CUAAGGUUUCCUGGGGAAGGUAAAUCCGCCCAGGGUUAGCCGGAGCCUAAGUCAAGGCUGAAAGGCGUAGACGAUGGACAACAGGUUAAUAAUCCUGUGCCACCGUAACAGCGUUGAGCAUGGGGGGACAGAGGUGUGAAGGUUAUCAAGUCCAAUAGACACGGCUUGUUCAAGCCGGAGAUGUUGUCUCAGGCAAAUCCGAGACGUAUGGCAUCGAAGGUGAGUACGUGGGCGUAUGCCCUUAAGUAACUGGAGCAUCUUUCAAGAAAAGCCUCGUUUGCGAGCUGUUAUGGUGUCCGUACUAAAACUGACACAGGUAGGCGGGGA